ACAGGUUGGUUUCUGUCGUCUGAUAUAUUUUAACGACAGACGGUGUAGAAACUGUCGUCUGAAUAUAGCAACAUACCAUGGUAAGUUAGCUUUGAGAAUUAGGUUUGUCUUUACACAACAGUUAUCUGUCGUCUAAUCAAAGGAGAUAAAUUUGAUUUCGGUUCGUGUUGUAUCUGCUUUUUUUUUUUUUUGUUCAGACGACAUUUAUCUGUCGUCUUGUCAAAGGAGACAAUUUUUUUUUUGUCAUAGCUGUUUGUUUUUUUGGCACAACAUGAAGGGAUAUAUGCCAAAUUUUAAAGCUAUUUCUCUCUCCCUGACAAAUUUAACCCUUUGAAAAAUUUUCUCUUCCACAUCUGAGAAACCCUAUCUAUCUCACUCUCCCUUAGGCACAGAAGAACCCAGUAGCCCCAACUCAACACAAAUUUCUUGGCAGAUCUCCCCCAUUAAACUCUCCUCUAAUCAAAACUGAAAACUCAAUCUCCCCCAUCUCUCUUCGACAAACAUAGAACCCAUCUCAAUCACUUUUUCAAACCAUACAGCCAAACCAUCUCAAUCCCUCUCACGAGUUCUUGUUGGUGUUGAGAAGAUUUCAACGCUUUCAAUCCGUAUUGUUUCACUAUUGUUGGGUAAGCCUUUCGAUUCACUGUUAAUCAAUUUAUUUAGAGUUUCUUUUGGAUUGGGUUUUAGGGUUUUAAUUGAAAAUUUCUAUUCAAAUUUGAUUUGUGUUUGCUGGGUUAUAUUCGAAUUGGGGAUACAAGGUUAUCUUUUGUCUGGGUUAUGUUCAAAUUUUCUUUUCGAAGGUACGAUUCGUCUCUGAAAUCGGUGAAGGAGCUUAACCAACCCCUGGAUUCGAAUUGCGGGGCGUUCAUGAAUCGGAGAAGGAGAUGAUAGGUUAGUUAGCAUUUUAUUUCCAUUUGCAUUUGCACUUUUCGGGUCAUUACCUAUCUAAACUUUGUUUUGCUUAACUAUCUUUGUUAAGUUUCAGUUUCAUGCUUGUUGUUUGCGAGGUCUGAUACGUGUAUAUUUGUAUUAUGUGCAUCUUAUUUUCAGGAGAGUUGGAAAACUAAAGGUUGCUGCUCCAGUUGAUAAGAGUAGCAAAGGAAAGGCCAUUUUUCAUUGGUUUUGCUAGCAUCUCAUUGAUGAGUCAAUUUAGUUUUGUCAUGUUUUAUUCAAUUCAAUUGUGUUUGUGGGUUUUGUAGAUUGGAUUUAUUGAAGAUUUUGAAAGCAUGUUUCUGAAAUCUUGGACAGAAGACCAUUUGAGGCAAGAGCCUCUUCUUCUCCUUUCAUACUUCCAGAAAGGUCAAUUCUUUUUUUCUUAGACUUUAGGUGUCCCAAGCUAUAAUGUUUAUCAUUCUAUCUAGUAUGCUGAUCCUAGUAUGGUCUUGUAGAUUUGGAAAUGGUUAUAAAUGGUAUCCUUCCUGCUUGAUUUUUUUUCUUUCUAAUUUCAUUGUUAUUGAGCCCAAAUUAUUGAUUGAUCAAUAGAAGGGAGCAUGUUGAUUAGUUGUGUGCUGCUCUAUUGUGCCCGACUACAUAUUCUAUGCCUUCUACAGAACUUAGUGACAAAUUAACAGUUGUAUUUGUUGUGAGUUUUCUCGAAUUAUAUGCACUUGUUUUUCUAUAGUGGUACCCUCAUAAUUAGCUUGGACAUGCAUGUUGUAGUCAUAGUGGAAAUUGCCAAUAUGUUAUAAUGGACUACCAAUAAUGAUAGAGGGAUUGAUCGGACUAGUGCAUUCUACUAAAGCCUCUUCAAGAACCAGAGAAGAUGACCAAUAUUAUUCUUCAAGCUCUGAAAAUUACUGGACAAAGAGGCAUUAUCAACAAAGGCUGGGGUUGGUAAUUUACAAUCAAAUGAUUCUGUGUACUUAGUGGACAAUUGCCCCCAUGAUGACUCUUCCUCGGAUGCUCUGUUGUGGUAAAUUAUUUAUGUUAUUAGUUUAUUUUGGUUUAGUACAGAUUUUGCUGCACUGGUGCUUACUAGAUUCAUGCUCGCUACGUGGUUUAUUUGUUGUAGUGACAUGAUCAUUAAUUCAAAUAUGACUAACAAAAAAAGGUCUUGAACAUUUUCAUUUGAAGCAUGUAGGAGCAGUUACAUGUUGUAAUGAUAAAUUGAUGUAGUAGUAAUAAA
Rosa rugosa (rugosa rose) is the source of this 2125-nucleotide long non-coding RNA. RefSeq lists it as uncharacterized. Lineage: Eukaryota; Viridiplantae; Streptophyta; Magnoliopsida; Rosales; Rosaceae. The record is from RefSeq and is a predicted model, not a curated record. The transcript is spliced from 3 exons.